AUGGAUAAUAAACCCAGGGGGAGCCCCCCCGAGGCGAGGUCUGCGGGCUGGGUUGGCUCUGUGCGGGGCAUGCAGCCCACGCUGCCGAGGGGGCUGUCAAGGCAGGCUGAUCCCAUGGCUCCAGAGCAGCCCCGCCCUAGACACACAGCGCCCAGCCCUAAAUUCCCCUCCGUGCCCAGACAAAGCACUGGCACGGCCGGAGCUGGGCGCAUCCUCUCGGGAUGGGAACGGAGCAUCCCUCCUCCCAGUUGGUGCGCCAGCCCCAGGCCCUCGCACAGGUAUUUCCACAGCCUGACGUCAGUGCUGCUCCCAGGGGAAGGCUUAUUCAGCGAAAGGAGCCGCGGCUGCAGCUGCGCCUCUGCAAAGGGCUGGGCUGCGCCCCAUCCAUCCGACCACAGCCCUGGGAGAGCAGGGGAAGGGCUGGCAAAGGCAAGACGGGCAGCGAGGAUGCCAAACCCCCGCGGGGAUCCAGCGACAGGCAUCCCUGGCAGAGAGGGAUGCUGUCAGGCUGGCUGCAGAUGCACUUCAAAGCAGCUGCAGACACAAAGGAAUGAAGAAAGAGAAGUGCAAGCAGAGGAGCCUGGUAAAUGGCUGCAAACAAAGCCAAGAGCCAUGAGCCAGCAGCCUCAUCCUUUCCCCAGCUCCUCACCAAGUGGCCAGGACAUGGAAAAGGUGGGAGGACAGGCUGAGGGUUUCAUGCCAGGCCAUAACCCAGCCAUGCUGCACUGCCCAGCAUCUGGGGUGUCUGCCCGUGCCCCUCAGCCCCUGCCCAGUGCCUGCAGAGCCCCUCAGCCCCUGCCCAGCCCUGCCCUGGGGCAGCUCCUCUCCCCCACCCCGCAGCCUGACGCUCACACCCUGAUUUGUGGCCAAACGUGUAUAUUUAGCUUCCCUGCAGCAAGGCAAGGCAAGGCAUCCCUCCAGCUCGCUGGGCUCCCUCCAAGAGUGCAACAAAGCCAGCUCAGCAUGGCCUUGCUGCAGAGCAGAGCAGGGAAUAUCCCCGGGGGGCUCCCACUUCCAUCCAUGGGAGAAACAAGGUCUGCCCCGGGAUCUGAGCCACUCGGGGACUGUGACUCCCAGCCACAGCUCUGA
RNAcentral lists this long non-coding RNA (1089 nucleotides) under Ficedula albicollis (Collared flycatcher). Its description in RNAcentral is "lncRNA (ENSFALG00000026852.1)". Lineage: Eukaryota; Metazoa; Chordata; Aves; Passeriformes; Muscicapidae. The record is from RNAcentral.